RNAcentral lists this ribosomal RNA (439 nucleotides) under uncultured bacterium. RNAcentral describes it as "bacterial SSU rRNA". It matches the Rfam family "Bacterial small subunit ribosomal RNA", at positions 338 to 769 of the family's 1533-position model. The record is from RNAcentral. RNAcentral also lists the same sequence under 1 other name.
CCUACGGGGGGCAGCAGUGGGGAAUAUUGCACAAUGGGCGCAAGCCUGAUGCAGCCAUGCCGCGUGUAUGAAGAAGGCCUUCGGGUUGUAAAGUACUUUCAGCGGGGAGGAAGGGAGUAAAGUUAAUACCUUUGCUCAUUGACGUUACCCGCAGAAGAAGCACCGGCUAACUCCGUGCCAGCAGCCGCGGUAAUACGGAGGGUGCAAGCGUUAAUCGGAAUUACUGGGCGUAAAGCGCACGCAGGCGGUUUGUUAAGUCAGAUGUGAAAUCCCCGGGCUCAACCUGGGAACUGCAUCUGAUACUGGCAAGCUUGAGUCUCGUAGAGGGGGGUAGAAUUCCAGGUGUAGCGGUGAAAUGCGUAGAGAUCUGGAGGAAUACCGGUGGCGAAGGCGGCCCCCUGGACGAAGACUGACGCUCAGGUGCGAAAGCGUGGGGAGC